Molecule: ribosomal RNA, 253 nt
Filed under: uncultured bacterium
Lineage: Bacteria
Description: partial 16S ribosomal RNA
Rfam family: Bacterial small subunit ribosomal RNA
Source: RNAcentral
UACGGAGGGUGCAAGCGUUAUCCGGAUUUACUGGGUUUAAAGGGUACGUAGGCGGAUUUGUAAGUCAGUGGUGAAAGCCUGCAGCUCAACUGUGGAAUUGCCAUUGAAACUGUGAAUCUAGAGUAUAGAGGAAGUAAGCGGAAUAAGUCAUGUAGCGGUGAAAUGCAUAGAUAUGACUUAGAACACCGAAAGCGAAGGCAGCUUACUGUUCUAUAACUGACGCUGAGGUACGAAAGCGUGGGUAGCGAACAGG